UGGCUUCCUUUGGCUUUGUUUCGGGU
This 26-nucleotide non-coding RNA is filed under the name Mus musculus (house mouse). The record is from RNAcentral. Lineage: Eukaryota; Metazoa; Chordata; Mammalia; Rodentia; Muridae.